This 253-nucleotide ribosomal RNA is filed under the name uncultured bacterium. Its description in RNAcentral is "partial 16S ribosomal RNA". It matches the Rfam family "Bacterial small subunit ribosomal RNA", at positions 524 to 776 of the family's 1533-position model. The record is from RNAcentral.
UACGUAGGUGGCAAGCGUUAUCCGGAUUUAUUGGGUGUAAAGGGCGUGUAGGCGGGAGCGCAAGUCAGAUGUGAAAACUCAGGGCUCAACCCUGAGCCUGCAUUUGAAACUGUGUUUCUUGAGUGCUGGAGAGGCAAUCGGAAUUCCUAGUGUAGCGGUGAAAUGCGUAGAUAUUAGGAGGAACACCAGUGGCGAAGGCGGCCUACUGGACGGUGACUGACGCUGAGGCUCGAAAGCGUGGGGAGCAAACAGG